AUUCUACUCCCUCUGUUGCACAAUACAUGCCUUCUAUUUGUCAAAAUAUAUAUGUAUCUAGACAUGUUUUAGUAUAUAGGUACAUCCAUUUUUGGACAAAUGGAAGUCAAGUAUAUUGGAACGGUGGGAGUACACA
Molecule: non-coding RNA, 136 nt
Organism: Triticum aestivum (bread wheat)
Lineage: Eukaryota; Viridiplantae; Streptophyta; Magnoliopsida; Poales; Poaceae
Source: Rfam